GAUCAACGCUGGCGGCGUGCAUGAGACAUGCAAGUCGAACGGACGACUCGGGCUUGCUCGAGUCGUUAGUGGCGGACGGCUGAGUAACGCGUGGGUGACCUGCCCCGAAGUGGGGAAUAACUGCCCGAAAGGGUGGCUAAUACCGCAUGUGGUGGUGCUUUCGAUUGCACCAGUAAAGCCGCAAGGCGCUUCGGGAGGGGCCUGCGUCCGAUUAGCUCGUUGGUGGGGUAACGGCUCACCAAGGCGACGAUCGGUAGGUGGUCUGAGAGGACGAUCACCCAGACUGGGACUGAGACACGGCCCAGACUCCUACGGGAGGCAGCAGUCGGGAAUUUUGCGCAAUGGACGAAAGUCUGACGCAGCAACGCCGCGUGAGGGAUGAAGGCCUUCGGGUUGUAAACCUCUUUUCUCAGGGACGAUGAUGACGGUACCUGAGGAAUAAGCCACGGCUAACUACGUGC
RNAcentral lists this ribosomal RNA (461 nucleotides) under uncultured bacterium. RNAcentral's name for it is "bacterial SSU rRNA". It matches the Rfam family "Bacterial small subunit ribosomal RNA", at positions 28 to 508 of the family's 1533-position model. The record is from RNAcentral.